GAUGAACGCUGGCGGCGUGCCUAAUACAUGCAAGUCGAGCGAACGGACGAGAAGCUUGCUUCGCUGAUGUUAGCGGCGGACGGGUGAGUAACACGUGGAUAACCUACCUAUAAGACUGGGAUAACUUCGGGAAACCGGAGCUAAUACCGGAUAAUAUUUUGAACCGCAUGGUUCAAAAGUGAAAGACGGUCUUGCUGUCACUUAUAGAUGGAUCCGCGCUGCAUUAGCUAGUUGGUAAGGUAACGGCUUACCAAGGCAACGAUGCAUAGCCGACCUGAGAGGGUGAUCAGCCACACUGGAACUGAGACACGGUCCAGACUCCUACGGGAGGCAGCAGUAGGGAAUCUUCCGCAAUGGGCGAAAGCCUGACGGAGCAACGCCGCGUGAGUGAUGAAGGUCUUCGGAUCGUAAAACUCUGUUAUUAGGGAAGAACAGAUGUGUAAGUAACUGUGCACAUCUUGACGGUACCUAAUCAGAAAGCCCCGGCUAACUACGUG
This 497-nucleotide ribosomal RNA is filed under the name uncultured bacterium. RNAcentral describes it as "partial 16S ribosomal RNA". It matches the Rfam family "Bacterial small subunit ribosomal RNA", at positions 28 to 507 of the family's 1533-position model. The record is from RNAcentral.